RNAcentral lists this ribosomal RNA (440 nucleotides) under uncultured bacterium. RNAcentral's name for it is "partial 16S ribosomal RNA". It matches the Rfam family "Bacterial small subunit ribosomal RNA", at positions 338 to 795 of the family's 1533-position model. The record is from RNAcentral.
CCUACGGGAGGCAGCAGUGGGGGAUAUUGCACAAUGGGGGAAACCCUGAUGCAGCGACGCCGCGUGGGUGAAGAAGCGCCUCGGCGCGUAAAGCCCUGUCAGCAGGGAAGAACAUGACGGUACCUGCAGAAUAAGCCCCGUCUAACUACGUGCCAGCAGCCGCGGUAAUACGUAGGGGGCAAGCGUUAUCCGGAUUUACUGGGUGUAAUGGGGGCGCAGACGGCGAUGCAAGCCAGGAGUGAAAGCCCGGGGCCCAACCCCGGGACAGCUCUUGGAACUGCGUGGCUAGAGUGCAGGAGAGGCAGGCGGAAGUCCUGGGGUAGCGGGGAAAUGCGUAGAUAUCAGGAGGAACACCGGUGGCGAAGGCGGCCUGCUGGACUGCAACUGACGUUGAGGCCCGAAAGCGUGGGGAGCAAACAGGAUUAGAUACCCCAGUAGUC